GAAGAGGAAGAAGAAGAAGGGCAGGAAAGGAAAGAUCAUAAUAAGCCUGCUAAUGGAGCUGAUUCCAUGGAGGUAAGUAGUGUCAUGGAUGAUCAGCAUGAAAGGUCAGCAACAGAGAAUAGUCAAGCUGCCGUGGGUGGGUUCAAUCAUGUAGCAACUUUAUCUGAAGCAGAUAUGCAAGAUCAGAUGGAUCAAUUCACAUAUAUCAUGCAUCAGAAGUUUUUGUUGGGAGAAGACAAUGAGCAUUUAGAUUACUCAAAAAUAGACAAUGAU
RNAcentral lists this unclassified non-coding RNA (273 nucleotides) under Hevea brasiliensis (rubber tree). The record is from RNAcentral. Lineage: Eukaryota; Viridiplantae; Streptophyta; Magnoliopsida; Malpighiales; Euphorbiaceae.